RNAcentral lists this ribosomal RNA (655 nucleotides) under uncultured bacterium. RNAcentral describes it as "bacterial SSU rRNA". It matches the Rfam family "Bacterial small subunit ribosomal RNA", at positions 8 to 663 of the family's 1533-position model. The record is from RNAcentral.
AGAGUUUGAUCCUGGCUCAGGAUGAACGCUAGCGGCAGGCCUAACACAUGCAAGUCGAGGGGUAAUCCCGCCUUCGGGCGGGAACGACCGGCGAACGGGUGCGUAACGCGUAUGCAAUCUGCCCACUGCUGGGGGAUAGCCCGAAGAAAUUUGGAUUAACCCCCCAUGGUACGGCGACUCCGCAUGGGGUUGUCGUUAAAGUUUACGGCAGUGGAUGAGCAUGCGUCCCAUUAGCUAGUUGGUGAGGUAACGGCUCACCAAGGCUGCGAUGGGUAGGGGUCCUGAGAGGGAGAUCCCCCACACUGGUACUGAGACACGGACCAGACUCCUACGGGAGGCAGCAGUGAGGAAUAUUGGACAAUGGGGGCAACCCUGAUCCAGCCAUGCCGCGUGCAGGAAGACGGCCCUACGGGUUGUAAACUGCUUUUGUACGGGAAGAACUCCCCGCUCGUGAGCGGGGCUGACGGUACCGUAAGAAUAAGCACCGGCUAACUCCGUGCCAGCAGCCGCGGUAAUACGGAGGGUGCAAGCGUUAUCCGGAAUCAUUGGGUUUAAAGGGUCCGCAGGCUGGGCGGUAAGUCAGUGGUGAAAUGCAGGGGCUCAACCCCGGCACUGCCAUUGAUACUGCCGUUCUUGAAUCGUCGUGAAGUGGCCG